GCGGCCCUCCCACCCUCUGAUUGGCGGAGAGACGCCGGUGCACCGGACGCAGCAGCGCGCGCGGGGCCGGCCGACCGAGACUCCGGGAGCCAGAGGAUAUUGGGGUUGAGCUUCCUGGGAGCCCAGGCUGAGCAGCUGCUGCUCCCCCAGCGGGAUCGGGGCUGGGGAGUGACCUCUGCGCCCAGCCAAGCAAUUGCAGGAGCCGAUCCAGCCAUAGGAGAGCGAACCCCCAGGAUUGG
Terrapene triunguis (Three-toed box turtle) is the source of this 239-nucleotide long non-coding RNA. RefSeq lists it as uncharacterized. The record is from RefSeq and is a predicted model, not a curated record. Lineage: Eukaryota; Metazoa; Chordata; Testudines; Emydidae. The transcript has 3 exons.